Molecule: long non-coding RNA, 1069 nt
Organism: Peromyscus eremicus (cactus mouse)
Lineage: Eukaryota; Metazoa; Chordata; Mammalia; Rodentia; Cricetidae
Exons: 3
Source: RefSeq, a predicted model, not a curated record
GUACCUGAGGGAGGGAUGGGAUGGGCAGGUGUCUCAGGGGUGCUGGAGCAUUCAGCGAGGUCACUUUGAGAAGCCAAAAUGGAUUUGACAAACCAAGAACUCUGGGGAGUCCAGCUGGGCUCAGGAGCAGCCUCUGAGUUUCCUCAGGUCUGCUCAGGAAGGACAGGGUUCAAGAGAACCAAGGGGUACCAGACCAGAGCUAAAGGGAGCCUGAAGUGGGCUGGGAGGAUGAAGAGGGAGGCAGAGGCAGGAUUCAAGAGGCCUGGUAAGGUCAGGUGAGGGGUUCAGGGAAGCUUGGAGAUGGGGAACAGGUAUUGCAUAGGGAUUGUGAGGGUUCCUUGCAUGGGUUCCUAGAAUUCCCCUCCCCGCAGGUGGCCUAGAAUUAGGAAAAGCUCCCCGACUUUUCAGGUGGUAACGGGACAGGUAUGUGCAAGCCUAGCCACUGGCCAGCAACCACAGGAUGGAGAUCUCAUCCAGCAGCUGCCCCACGAAGCUGAGUGUCAUGUGGAAAUACAUGGAGAACAGACCUGUGGGUAGGCGGAGGCAAGCAGAGGCUGUAAGAGGCACUGUUUCCACAACGCUUCCACAGCUUCGCACACCAGCACAUACCUAUGACCAUGAAGAGGACUGAGACCCCGUAGAUGGCCCAGAUCUGGAGGCUGAGGCAGGAGGACUGCCAGGAGUUCCAAGUCAUCCUGGGCUACAGUGUAAGACCCUGUCAUGGUGUAAGAUCCUGUCUCCAACAGAGAGACAAGCAGAUGCAGCAAUACCUGUGCACAACAUCUGUCCUGUCUAAGGAGAAGGUUAUCUAAAGACUAUUUAAAGACUAUGGGGAAUUGCACAGGCUCUAAACUAACAUUACACCAUUGUAUAAAAGGGACCUGAAGGCCUGCAAGAGGGCUCAGCAGGUAAAGGUGCUUGCUGCCAAGCCUGAUGACCUGAAUCAGAUUCCUGGAACCCACUCAGUGAAGGAACAACUGACUCCCACAGACUGUCAUCUGAUGCUCCCACCAGCAUGCAUUCCCUACUACAAAGCCUGAGAGCCAAAAUAAACUCUUUCUUAAAUUGC